AUUUAAAUAGUUUAUAGAAAAUAUUGAUUUGUGGAAUCAAAGUAAAGAAUUAUCUUUUUAAAUU
This 64-nucleotide transfer RNA is filed under the name Phthiridium szechuanum. Its description in RNAcentral is "tRNA-His". Lineage: Eukaryota; Metazoa; Arthropoda; Insecta; Diptera; Nycteribiidae. The record is from RNAcentral.